RNAcentral lists this ribosomal RNA (258 nucleotides) under uncultured bacterium. RNAcentral describes it as "partial 16S ribosomal RNA". It matches the Rfam family "Bacterial small subunit ribosomal RNA", at positions 96 to 354 of the family's 1533-position model. The record is from RNAcentral.
UGGCGGACGGGUGAGUAGCGCGUGGGCAAACCUGGCCUGUACAGGGGGAUAACACUUAGAAAUAGGUGCUAAUACCGCAUAACGGGGGAAGCCGCAUGGCUUUUCCCUGAAAACUCCGGUGGUACAGGAUGGGCCCGCGUCUGAUUAGCCAGUUGGCAGGGUAACGGCCUACCAAAGCGACGAUCAGUAGCCGGCCUGAGAGGGCGGACGGCCACACUGGGACUGAGACACGGCCCAGACUCCUACGGAAGGCAGCAG